Papaver somniferum (opium poppy) is the source of this 15707-nucleotide long non-coding RNA. RefSeq lists it as uncharacterized. The record is from RefSeq and is a predicted model, not a curated record. The transcript is spliced from 13 exons. Lineage: Eukaryota; Viridiplantae; Streptophyta; Magnoliopsida; Ranunculales; Papaveraceae.
CGUUCCUUUCACAAAUUAUUUCACUUUAGUUUCCAUCUUCCUCCGAAAGGAGGCGUAGGUCAAGUCAAAUACGAUCUACGGAUCUAGGAGUUUUCUGUUUUUGUGUUGGUCUUUGGAUCAGGGAGGUGAUGAUCUCUGUGAAGUGGCUGCGUUUCAAGAAGCGGAUUCAGGUUUUGGGUCUGUUACUAUGAAUUUGUUUUAUCUUCUUAUGUUUACUUUUCUCCUGUAACUGUGAUUCUUCGAUGAUCCAGAUUUAAAGUUAUUCUCUUGAAGUUUUGUGUAUGGAUUUCUUUACCAGGAUUCCGUAAGGGAUUACUAAAAAAGAUGUGAGUUGGUUUAUCUUUUGGCUUCUGGUUUUAGAUGGAAGAUUGUUGUUGGAUUUUUAGACCACUCCACUUUCGAUUUUAUGUCUUUAAUAGGUAGGAGGUGAUGAUUGUGGAUCGAAGUUUGAAGCGGAAUCUGGUUUCUUCUUUCACGGUUGUAAAUAUGAUCUUAAUUUAGUGAUCUAAAUUCUAAGUGGAUCUGAAUUUAAUGAUCUGAUUGUUACUAGAUCGAGAUCAAAGGAUAAGAUGGAUGUGUGAAGUUAAGGUGGUGGCGGAAUCAGGUUUUUGGUCAAAGAUGGUUAUCUUUUUAUGUUUCAUUGUACAUAUGCUACUGUUUAGCUGCAGAUUUUGAUGAUGAAAAUUUCUUUGGUAGUAGAUCUAAGGGAAGAUUUCUAUGUGAAGGGAUUUAUUUAAGGAGUUUCAUACCUUCUGGAGGCGAGGUUUGGUGAAGAUACUGACUGCUGUACAUUUUUUUGGUGAAGAUUUAAGUAAUUUGAAGAACUCAUGAUUUUUUUAUGACUCAAUGGGAUUAUCAUUCUUCAACUCAAUUUUUGUGUAGACACUAUUAAACAGUGGAGGACCUUAGCGGACUACACCAGCUGCAUUCGAAGAAUAAGUUCCUUAUUUUGCUCUCUUAAGUUGAUGUUGUACAUGCUAAUUUAAUCAACUUUAUGAUGUCUAUGUCUUUAUAUUGUUUAAUUUGUUGUUCAAUAGGUUUGUGUUUGACGACAAUUGUUGAACAGGGGAAAUAUCCCUCGAGUUCCUGUAAUUUGUAAAUGACAAUGCUGAUUUCUUAUGUUACUUAGUGUGGAUAAAGGUUACGUUGAGUUUUGGCUCUUUUUUUUGCAGUUGUCUAUAUGGCUAUCUUUUCAUGUCUGCUCUUGCGAAUGCAAGUUCUUCUAUUAUUCUACUGAUGAGGGUGUUCAUUGUGACUGUUAAAUUGACUGGUUUUUGUGAGCAUCAUCUUUGAUUCUCGCACACCACAUCUGCCUUUUGUCAAAAUUUGGAGCGGAUUCUAGUAUAUUACUGCGAUUAUUUGGUAAAUAAAUAACUGCGAUUCUGCAAAGAAUUUAAUUCCAUGAUCCUGUUUGUAUGAUUGUUAUUAUGUUUCCUAAGACUCCAUAGAAGUUGUAGCCAUGGAUUGAAGGCGGUGGUUCAGGAAUUGGUGUGGAUUCAGGUUUUAGGGCGAACGUUGUUAUCUUUUUCUGUUUCAUUGCCUUGUACUCUAGCUGCUAUCUUUGAUAUGAAAUUGCCCUGUUCUUAUUUCUUUGGUAGUAGAUCGGAAGGAAGAUCUCUCAAUGCGAAGGGAUUUAUGUAAGUCUUUUCUUAUCAUUCUGGAGGUAGGGUUUGGUGAGGAUACUUACUGCUCUACUUUGUUUUGUUUUUGGUUGGAGUAGCUAUUCAUAUGGUGGAAUAUAAGAAGUAUGAAGAUCUAAUAUGAAAAAUUGAAGCUUUAUAUGGUUCAGUUGGGUUAUUUCUUAUUAUCCUCCACUUCCAAUUUUGUCUGUUAAGUAGGGUUGUUGAUGAUCCCAGCCGCCUUCAAGGAUUGAUGCAAAUUCAGGUUUUUAGGGCUCUAUAGCUCUAGUUAAUUUUUUCUGUGUUUCUUUGCCCUUUCUAUUGUGGUGCAUACCUGAAGAAGAAAUUAUUCGUAGGAGUUGAAUUGAGAGGUGAAGGAUAUUUUUGGGCAAUAUGGUUGCUUCCAAAGAAAAGUUUCGACUUAACUCUCAAUGCUGGCGUUGGCUUCAUAUUGUGAUGUGUUGAGUAGUUAUUUGGUUACUGAAUAGAUUUCCUUGACCAAAUCUUAUUUGGUUUAUAGUUCAACAGGGGUAAACCCUUAUUUCUCUGUUGAUGUAUUGCGUUGAUUUCAGGAGAGCCAGAGGAUUUGGAAAGGCAGCUGUUCGUUGACAUAGUUGGAUAGAUUGGUUUCCUUGCUGGGAUGUGAAACAUGACUGUACUUUGCUUCUAGAUGUUUAUAUAAGAUUUUAAUUUCUUUGCUCGGGAAAGAAUUUUUGGUUGCUAUCUGUCUUUUGACUCAUCUUAUGUUUCCUCCUGACUAAUAAGUGAUUGUUCCUGUGAUCUAUUUGCAGUCGGGGUGCUUGCUUCCGUCUACUGCGGUAAUUUCAUGUGCAUGGUAUUGUGACAUGUCUCCAUAUUUGAGUCUGAUGCAUGUUUGUUGGCAUUCAGUUAUUGGUCAAGGAAUGUGUCCGAAUUGAUUGGCAUGCUGAGCUUGUCUUAGCUGUGGCUGAGGCCCAAUGGGUUGUUUUGUAUCUUAUUUAACUUCUUCAAUUAUUUUCUUCGAUAUACAUCAUGGUUUUGUGGUUUUCUGUUGUUUAAAUUGAAAUGCAUGUUCGAUGUUGUGCUUCAGUUUCAGAGAGCCUGAGGAUUUUGAAAGGGAGCUUGUUCUUUGUCAUAGUUGGAUGGAUCGGUUUCUUUACUGCGAUCUGAAACGAGGACUGUACUUGUACCUUUGCUUUCAGGGGACUAUAUCAGAUUUUAGUUUCUUUGCUUGAAAAAUAACUUUUGGAUGCAAUCUGUCUUCCCCCCCUUGAGUAAGAAGUGAUUGAUCCUGUGAUUUAUUUGCUUUCAGGGUGCUUGCUUCCAUCUAUUGCGGCGUCUAAAAGGGCUGUUCUAUCUUAAAAAAAGUUGGUCAAACUAGCAUGGUGGUGUCGUCUUUUAUUACUUUACUCUCUCUGCCUGCUACUUGAUGGAACGUCUUUUUUCUUAUAUUGUGGUUUUCUCUUGUUCAAGCUUCAUUGGAAUUCAUUGAUACAUCGAGGAAUGUAUCUGAUCUGAUUGGCUGCUGAGCUUGUUUUAGUUGUGGCAGAAUCCCAAUGGGUGGUUUUGUAUCUUUAGAUAUAUUCUUCAACUAUUUUCUUUGAUACAAUACAGCUCUGUGGUUUUCAUUUACAUGUCUGAUGUUGUGCUUUGGAUUUCAGGAGAGCCAGUGGAUUUCGUAAGGGGGCAUGUUCUUUGUCAAUAGUUGGAUAGAUUGGUUUCCUUAAGGGGGGAUGUACUUUGCUUCUAGAUGUUUAUUUAAGAUUUUAGUUUCUUUGCUCGGGAAAGAAUUUUUGGUUGCAAUCUGUCUUUUGACUCUUCUUAUGUUUCCCAGCUGACUAAUAAGUGACAGUUCCUGUGAUUUGCAGUCAGGGUGCUUGAUUCCGUUUACUGCGGUAAUUUCUCGUGCAUGGUAUCGUGACUUGUCCCCAUAUUUGAGUCUGAUGCAUGUACUUUCCAUACCUCUAGUUCACUCUCUCUGCCUGCUACCUGGAGGAACGUUUUUUUCUCCUAUGUUGAGGUCUUCUUUUCUUUUAGGUUUGUUGGCAUUCAGUUAUUGGUCAAGGAAUGUGUCGAAUUGAUUGGCAUGCUGAGCUUGUCUUAGCUGUGGCAGAGGCCCAAGGAGUGGUUUUGUAUCUUAUUUAACUUCUUCAUUUAUUUUCUUUGAUAUACCCCAUGGCUUGUGGUUUUCAGUUAUUUAAAUUGAAAUGCAUGUUCGUUGUUGUGCUUUGGGUUUCAGAGAGCCUGAGGAUUUUGAAAGGGAGCUUGUUCUUUGUCAUAGUUGGAUGAAUCGGUUUCUUUACUGCGAUGUGAAACAUCGACUGUAUUUCUACCUUUGGUUUCAGGGGAUUAUAUCAGUAUUUAGUUUCUUUGCUUGAAAAGUAACUUUUGGAUGCAAUCUGUCUUUUAUCUCUUCUCAUGUUUCCCUCUUUGAGCAAGAAGUGAUUGGAUCCUGUGAUUUAUUUGCUUUCAGGGUUUUUGCUUCCAUCUAUUGCGGCGUCUAAAAGUGCGUUCAAUCUUAAAUAAAGUUGAACAAACUAUUCCUGAAGUGCACGAGCAUGGUUUAGUGUCGUCUUUUAUUACAUUACUCUCUCUGCCUGCUACUUGGUGGAACGUCGUUUUUCUUAUAUUGUCGUUUUUCUUAGAUAUAUUCUUCAAUUAUUUCUUUGAUACAAUACAGCUCUGUUCAGUUAUUUAAAUUGAAAUGCAUGCUUGAUGUUGUGCUUUGGGUUUCAGGGGAGCCUGAGGAUUUUGAAAGGGAGCUUGUUCUUUGUCGUAGUUGGAUGGAUCGGUUUCUUUACUGCGAUGUGAAACGUCGACUGUACUUCCACCGUUGCUUUCAGGGGAUUGUUUCAGAUUUUAGUUUCUUUGCUUGAAAAAUAACUAUAUCCGUCUUUUAUCUCUUCUCAUGUUUACCCCCUUGAGCAAGAAGUGAUUGAUCCUGUGAUUUAUUUGCUUUCAGGGUGCUUGCUUCCAUCUAUUGCGGCGUCUAAAAGUGCGAUUCAAUCUUAAAUAAAGUUGGACAAACUAUUCCAGAAGUGCACGGGCAUGGUUUUGUGUCGUCUUUUAUUACUUUACUCUCGCUGCCCGCUACUUGGUGGAACGUCUUUUUACUUAUAUUGUGGUUUUCUCUUGUUCAAGCUUCAUUGGAAUUCAUUGAUUCAUCGAGGAAUGUAUCUGGUCUGAUUGGCUGCUGAGCUUGUUGUAGUUGUGGCAGAAGCUCAAUGGGAGAGCCAGUGGAUUCCGUAAGGGGGCUUGUUCUUUGUCAAUAGUUGGAUAGAUCGGUUUCCUUACUGGGAUGUAAAACAUGACUGUACUUUUUUAUCUUUGCUUUUAGAUGUUCAUAUAAUAUUUUAGUUUCUUUGCUCGGGAAAGAAUUUUUGGUUGCAAUCUGUCUUUUGACUCUUCUUAUCCACCUGACUAAUAAGGUGAUUGUUCCUGUGAUUUGCAGUCAGGGUGCUUUCUUCCGUCUACUACGGUAAUUUUUCGUGCAUGGUAUUGUGACUUGUCACCAUAUUUGAGUUUGAUGCAUGUACUUUCCAUACCUCUAGUUCUUUCUCUCUGCCUGCUCUACUUGGAGGAACGUUUUUUUCUUCUUUGUUGAGUUUUUCUUUUAUUUUAGGUUUGUUGGCAUUCAGUUAUUGGUCAAGGAAUGUGUCUGAAUUGAUUUGCAUGCUGAGCUUGUCUUAGCUGUGGCAGAGGCCCAAUAGAGAGCCUGAGGAUUUUGAAAGGGAGCUUGUUCUUUGUCAUAGUUGGAUGGAUCGGUUUCUUUACUGCAAUGUGAAACGUCGACUGUACUUCUACCUUUACUUUCAGGGGAUUAUAUCAGAAUUUAGUUUCUUUGAUUGAAAAUUAACUUUUGGAUGCAAUCUGUCUUUUUAUCUCUUCUCAUGUUCCCCCCUUGAAGUGAUUGAUCCUGUGAUUUAUUUGCUUUACUCUCUCUGCCCACUACUUGGUGGAAUGCCGUUUUUCUUAUAUUGUGGUUUUCUCUUGUUCAAGCUUCACUGGAAUUCAUUCGAGGAAUGUAUCUGAUCUGAUUAGCUGCUGAGCUUGUUUUAGUUGUGGCAGAAGCUCAAUUGGUGGUUUUGUAUCUUAGAUAUAUUCUUCAAUUAUUUUCUUUGAUACAAUACAGCUCUGUCGAUUUCAGUUAUUUAAAUUGAAAUGCAUGUUUGAUGUUGUGCUUUGGGUUUCAGGGGAGCCUGAGGAUUUUGAAUGGGAGCUUGUUCUUUGUCAUAGUUGGAUGGAUCGGUUUCUUUACUGCGAUGUGAAACGUCGACUGUACUUCCACCUUUGCUUUCAGGGGAUUGUGUCAGAUUUUAGUUUCUUUGCUUGAAAAAUAACUUUAUCUGUCUUUUAUCUCUUCUCAUGUUUACCCCCUUGAGCAAGAAGUGAUUGAUCCUGUGAUUUAUUUGCUUUCAGGGUGCUUGCUUCCAUCUAUUGCGGCGUCUAAAAGUGCGAUUCAAUCUUAAAUAAAGUUGGACAAACUAUUCCAGAAGUGCACGGGCAUGGUUUUGUGUCGUCUUUUAUUACUUUACUCUCGCUGCCCGCUACUUGGUGGAACGUCUUUUUACUUAUAUUGUGGUUUUCUCUUGUUCAAGCUUCAUUGGAAUUCAUUGAUUCAUCGAGGAAUGUAUCUGGUCUGAUUGGCUGCUGAGCUUGUUGUAGUUGUGGCAGAAGCUCAAUGGGUGAUUUUAUAUCUUAGAUAUAUUCUUCGACUAUUUUCUUUGAUGCAAUACAGCUCUGUGGUUUUCAUUUACAUGUCUGAUGCUGUGCUUUGAAAUUCAGGAGAGCCAGUGGAUUCCCUAAGGGGGCUUGUUCUUUGUCAAUAGUUGGAUAGAUUGGUUUCCUUACUGGGAUGUGAAACAUGACUGUACUUUUUUUUAUCUUUGCUUUUAGAUGUUCAUAUAAGAUUUUAGUUUCCUUUGCUCGGGAAAGAAUUUUCGGUUGUAAUCUGUCUUUUGACUCUUCUUAUGUUUCCCAGCUGACUAAUAAGUGACUGUUCCUGUGAUUUGCUGUCAGGGUGCUUGAUUCCGUUUACUGCGGUAAUUUCUCGUGCAUGGUAUCGUGACUUGUCCCCAUAUUUGAGUCUGAUGCAUGUACUUUCCAUACCUCUAGUCCACUCUCUCUGCCUGCUACUUGGAGGAACGUUUUUUCUCCUAUGUUGAGGUUUUCUUUUAUUUUAGGUUUGUUGGCAUUCAGUUAUUGGUCAAGGAAUUUGUCUAAUUGAUUGGCAUGCUGAGCUUGUCUUAGCUGUGGCAGAGGCCCAAGGAGUGGUUUUGUAUCUUAUUUAACUUCUUCAUUUAUUUUCUUCGAUAUACACCAUUGCUUUGUGGUAUUCAGUUAUUUAAAUUGAAAUGCAUGUUCGAUGUUGUGCUUUGGGUUUCAGAGAGCCUGAGGAUUUUGAAAGGGAGCUUGUUCUUUGUCAUAGUUGGAUGGAUCGGUUUCUUUACUUCGAUGUGAAACAUCGAAUGUGACUUUUGCUUUCAGGGAUUAUAUCAGUAUUUAGUUUCUUUGCUUGAAAAAUAACUUUUGAAUGCAAUCUGUCUUUUAUCUCUUCUCAUGUUUCCCCCCUUGAAUAAGAAGUGAUUGAUCCUGUGAUUUAUUUGCUUUCAGGGUGCUUGCUUCCAUCUAUUGCGGCGUCUAAAAGUGCGGUUCAAUCUUAAAUAAAGUUGGACAAACUAUUCCUGAAGUGCACGAGCAUGGUUUUGUGUCGUCUUUUAUUACUUUACUCUCUCUGCCUGCUACUUGGUGGAUCGUCAUUUUUCUUAUAUUGUGGUUUUCUCUUGUUCAAGCUUCACUGGAAUUCAUUAAUUCGUCAAGGAAUGUAUCUGAUCUGAUUGGCUGCUGAGCUUGUUUUAGUUGUGGCAGAAGCUCAAUGGGUGGUUUUGUAUCUUAGAUAUAUUCUUCAAUUAUUUUCUUUGAUAGUUUUAGUUGUGGCAGAAGCUCAAUGGGUGGUUUUGUAUCUUAGAUAUAUUCUUCAAUUAUUUUCUUUGAUACAAUACAGCUCUGUCGAUUUCAGUUAUUUGAAUUGAAAUGCAUGUUUGAUGUUGUGCUUUGGGUUUCAGGGGAGUUUGAGGAUUUUGAAAGGGAGCUUGUUUUUUGUCAUAGUUGGAUGGAUCAGUUUCUUUACUGCGAUGUGAAACGUCGACUGUACUUCCACCUUUGCUUUCAGGGGAUUGUUUCAGAUUUUAGUUUCUUUUCCUGAAAAAUAACUUUAUCCAUCUUUUAUCUCUUCUCAUGUUUACCCCCUUGAGCAAGAAGCGAUUGAUCCUGUGAUUUAUUUGCUUUCAGGGUGCUUGCUUCCAUCUAUUGCGGCGUCUAAAAGUGCGGUUCAAUCUUAAAUAAAGUUGGACAAACUAUUCCUGAAGUGCACGAGCAUGGCUUUGUGUCGUCUUUUAUUACUUCACUCAGGCUGCCCGCUACUUUGUGGAACGUCUUUUUGGUUUUUCUUGUUCAAGCUUCAUUGGAAUUCAUUGAUUCGUCAAGGAAUGUAUCUGACCUGAUUGGCUGCUGUGCUUGUUUUUGUUGUGGCAGAAGCUCAAUGGGUGGUUUUGUAUUUUAGAUAUAUUAUACAGCUCUGUGGUUUUCAUUGACAUGUCUGAUGCUGCUUUGGAUUUCAGGAGAGCCAGUGGAUUUCAUAAGGGGCUUGUUCUUUGUCAAUAGUUGGAUAGAUUGGUUUCUUUACUGGGAUGUGAAACAUGACUGUACUUUUUUUAUCUUUGCUUUUAGAUGUUUAUAUAAGAUUUUAGUUUCUUUGCCCGGGAAAGAAUUUUUGGUUGCAAUCUGUCUUUUGACUCUUCUUAUGUUCCCCACCUGACUAAUAAGUGAUUGUUCCUGUGGUUUGCAGUCAGGGUGCUUGAUUCAGUCUAUUGGGGUAAUUUCUCAUGCAUGGUAUCAUGAUACUUUCCAUACCUAUAGUUCACUCUCUCUGGCUGCUACUUGGAGGCAUGUCUUUUUCUCCUAUGUUGAGGUUUUCUUUUAUUUUAGGUUCAAAGGAUAAGAUAGAUGUGGUGCUGGAUUCAGGUUCUUGGGCAGAGAUUGUUAUCUUUUUAUGUUCGGUUGCUGUACAUAUGCUAUUGUUUAGCUGCAGAUGUUAACGGUGAAAAUUUAUCUUGGAGAAGAUUUAAGUAAUUUGAAGUUGAUUUAAAAGUGAAGGGCCUUGGUGACUACGAGAGCUGCAUUGGAGAAUAAGUUCCUUAUUUUGCUCUUUUAAGUUGAUGUCAUACAUGCUAAUUUAAUCAACUUUAUGAUGUCUUCUGUAGUUUAAUGUUGAUGUCUUGACAUCAAUUGGGGAAAUAUUUAUGAAUUUCCAUCGAGUUCCUGUAAUUUUUUAAUGGCUGGUAGUUCAAUAAUGGGAUUAUUUUUUUGUGUAAUUUCUUGCUUAUGUUGUUGUUUGUGGAUUAUUCUUUUGCAGGACAGAUGCUGAUUUCUAUGUUACCGUGUGUGGAUAAAGGUUUUGUUGAGUUUUGGCUUCCUUUUCUAUGGUUGUUUAUAGUUUUGGUUACUUAAGGCGAAGAUCGUUAUCUUUUUAUGUUUCAUUGGCUUGUACGUCUGUUGUAUACUAGGUGCUAACUUUGAGGAUGAAAUUGCCCUGUUCUUAAUUAGUAGAUUGGAAGGAAGAUCUCUCAAUGUCAAAGGAUGGAAGGAUUUAUGUGAGGCUUUUCAGAGUUCGCUGAAGAUACUUACUGCUGUACUUUAUUUUUGGAGUAGCUAUUUCAUAUGGUGUAGUAUAAGUAGUAGGAAGAUCUGAAUUAUAUGAAAAAUUGAAGCUUUAUAUGGUUCAGUUGGGUUAUUCGAUUUUGUCUGUUUAGUAGGGUUGUUGACAAGAUGGUAAUGUGAUGAUCCAGCCACCAUGGAAGGUGAUGAAUUCAGGUUUUUAGGGUUCUACCGCUCUUGUUAAUUUUUUUGUGUUUCUUUACCAUCUUCAUUGUUGGGCAUAUCUGAAGAAGAAAUUAUUUCAAGGAGCUGAAGUUGUUCUGGUUGAUUCAAUGUGAUCAUUAUUCGUUAAUGUUUGUGUGUAGACACUAUUGAGCGGCGAAGGAUAUUGUUAGGCGAUAUGGUAGCUUACCUGGAUGUGUUUAGUAGUUCUUUGGUUAUUGAAUAGAUUUCUUUGACCAAAUCUUACCUGGAUUUUAGUUGAACAUGGGUAGAAGUUCGUUUGUCUGUUCAGCAGGGGUUCAAUUAACGAACCUGUUGUGGAUUUGUAGAGAUUUUUCACGAUGAUGAGUAGGUGAUGAUAAGAAUUGAAGCAGAUUCGGGUUUUGGCACUAUUUGUGGAACUGUGCUCUUUUUAUGUUUCUUUUCCGGUGUUCGCAUCCAUCAGGGGUUACCAGAGUUGCUGGAAUUCUCCAAGGGAAAGUUCAAUGUAAUAAGAUCCUUCGAAGGAGGAGCGUUUUCUUCUCCUUCUGGAGGAAAGGUUCGGUGAGGAUACUUGCUUACUGUACAUUGUUUUCGGAGUAACUAUUUGAUUUACGGUUCAAAAACUAUUUUGAAGAUCUGAGUAAUUUGAAGAACUGAAGUUUUAUAUGCUCCGAUGGUGAUCUUGGUGGACUAUGAGAGCUUCAUUUGAAGAAUAAGUUUCUCAUUUCACUCUAUUAUGUUGAACUUGUUAAUUUGAUCAACUUCAUCAUAUCUGGGUGUUGGUUUAUUUAGUUGUUCGGUAGAUUUAUGUAUCGAAUAUGGUUGAACAGGGGAAUUUACUUACGAAAUUCUGAUUCCCUUGUGUUUUUGUAGUUUGUGGCUGUUGGGAAGAGCCGCUUUUCAAUUUUGCGUGUAGGUAUAUGGAUUUUCUUUUGGUUUUGCUUAAUCAUCGUUUUCUUGCUUAUGUUGUGUGUGUGGAUUUUAUUAUGUUGCAGGAAAGAUGUUGAUUGCUUAUGUUAUCAUGUACGGAUCUUAAGCUUCUGUUGAGUUUUGACCUUUUACUUUCGUUGGUCGUAUAUUUGGUCAUUUGGUCUAUCUGUGCUCGUGUGAGUGCAGGUUUGUUUAUCAUUUCUGUUGAAAAGGGUGUUCUCACGUUAGUAUCUCGAGGUUUGUGACUGUUAAGUUAUUAUAUAAAGCGAACAUGCUUGCUUAAGCAUUGUGAAACUACUCUACGACUUGCUGCACCUUCACGGUUACUGACUCAUUUUCCCUUUCUGUUUGAACUCGUUUGUUUUAAGCUUAGUUGAGGUUGACCUCAUUUGGCCUUAUUAUGCUAUGUUUAAGCUAUGGUAGUGAAGUGACACUAUCCGAGGGAGGCAUGCUAUUCUAGUGUGGUAUGGUUUCCUAUCUGUAGCUAUUAUUGUAAUUUAUGUUGGUCGUUAUUUGAAGUUCGAAUAGAUGUUUUCAUGAAGUCCACCAUUGUUUAAGGUUCCCGACUUAAGUUUACUGGAUUGUAUAAGCAUCAUCUUUGGUUCAUCUGCCUUGGAUCUUCAAUAUUCUACAUGGGACUGUUUCAAUGGAUACAUUUUGGCAUUUCUGUUUUACUUAAUGUGCUGAAGAUAUGUGAAACUCAACAUGCAAUUAGUACAUUUGGUAUUUUUGUUUUACUCAAUGUGCAGAGGGUAUCUCAAACUAGGAAACUAGACAUCAACAACGCUAUGAAAGUAGUGCUAUAACAGUUGGGGUCUAUCUGAUUUGGUUUACUGGGCAGAUCAUUCAAAAUAUGUUAGAAUUUUCAGGCUUGAUCGUGUGGUUUACUUUUAACUUUGUAAAUACAUGACAAUCUUCUUAUCUUCGUGUGAAGGCAGCAGUGGCCCAUCUCUUGCAAUGGCUUUGUGUCAGGUCUUCUUUUUUGUCUUUUAUUUUUUUAAACAAACAAACCAUUGGCUUCUUUUGAAUUUUCUCACUUAGGUUUUGGAAUAUGCAGAGUGAAACAUAUGCUUCCUAACUUAUAUGCUAAUGAGAAAGUUUACUUAUCGAGUUUCUCUAGUUCCUUUUGUAACAUAUGCUCAUUAAGCUUAUGUUCUCGUUGUCCUCGUCAAUAUUGUUCUCGUGUUGCAAAUUUAGUUGUUGGUUUGGCUCCUCCUCACAGGUCCAUUUGGUCACUACAUCCAGCUUUUCUGCGGAUAUGGGGGUUUCAUGUUCUUUGACAUAUAAGUUGUGAAGUUCUAUGAUCUUCUAUGUGGCAAUCACUUCGUAAUCAACUUUUAAGAAAGAAACUGCUAAAUUUUAGUUCUCUGAUGUAUAACAUCGUGCUUUGAUAACAGGGGAGGGGAGCCAGUGGAUUUCGAAAGGGAGCUUGUUGUUUGUCAUGGAGGGAUUGGUUUUCUUACUGUGAUGUGCAACGGCGACUUUGCUUUUAGGAGUUUAUGUCGGGUUUUAGUUAUAGUUUCUUUGCUUGAGAAAGAAUUUUUGGUUGCAAUCUGUCUUUUGUCUCUUCUUAUGUUUCCCCAUGUCCAACAAGUGAUUGUCCUGUAAUUUGUUUGCUGUCAGGUACUUGUUUCCAGCUACUGUGAUUUAUUUAGUUGUGGCAGAAGCUCAAUCGGUGGUUUUGUAUCUUAUUUAUCUUCUUCGGCUAUUUUUUCGAUAUACAACACAGGUGUGUUUCUCAUUUAUCUAAAUUUGAAUAUGAAUCUGAUGUAUUACAUUGUGCUCUGGAUUUCAGGAGAGCCAAGAGGAUUUGGAAAGGGAGCUUAUUUUGUGUCACAGUCGGAUAGAUUGGUUCCUUACUAGGAUGUGAAACAUCAGACUGAACUUUUAACUCCCCUUUUAGGGGUUUAUAUCAGCUUUUAAUUCUUUUGCUUCAGAAAGAAUUUUUGUUUUCAAUCUCUCUCUCAUGUUUCCUCCCUCACUAACAAGUGAUUGUUCCUAUUAUUUUUUUGCUGUCAGGGUGCUCAGUCCAGCUACUGGGGUUUAUUUGGCUGCGGAGGUUGUCUUACUUGUUGCAGAAGCCCGAUGGGUUGUUUUGUAUCUUAUUUAUCUUUUUCGGCUAUUUUUUCGUUGACAUAGGUGUGUGUUUUUCAUUCAUAUAAAUUUGAAUAUAAAUCUGAUGUAUUACAUUGUGCUAUGGAUUUCAGGAAAGCCAGGAGGAUUUGUAAAGGGAGCUUAUUCUCUGUCAUAGUUGGAUAGAUUGAUUCCUUAUUGGGAUGUGAAACGUUGACUGAACUUUUAACUUCGCUUUUAGGGAUUUACAUCAGAUUUAAAUUUCUUCGCUUCAGAAAGAAUUUUUGGUUGUGAUCUGUCUUUUGUCUGUUCUUAUGUUUCCUCCUUGACUAGAAAGUGACUGUUCCUAAUUUUUAUUUGCUGUCAGGGUGCUUGCUUCCAGCUACUGUGAUUUAUUUGGUCGUGGAACAUAUAUGAAUUUAUAGGCUGUGGAGCUUGUCUCUUUUAUCUUCUUCGGCUAUUUUUUUCAAUAUACAACACAGGGUGUUUGCUUCCAGCUGUGGUGGUUUAUUUCGUCGAGGAAUGUAUCUGAUUUGAUUGGCUUGCGGAGCUUGUCUUAGUUGUGGCUGAAACUCGAUGGGCGGUUUUGAAUCUUUUUUAUUUUCUUCGGCUAUUUUUUUUUUGAUAUACAACACAGGUGUGUUUUUCAUUUAUCUAAAUUUGAAUUAAAUCUGAUGUAUUACGUUGUGCUUUGGAUUUCAGGGGAGCCAGAGAAUGCUUUGGAUUUCAGGGGAGCCAGAGAAUUUGGGAAGGAAGCUUAUUCUCUGUCAUAGUUGGAUGGAUUGGUUUCCUAACUUGGAUGUGAAAUGUUGACUCAACUUGUAACUUCGGUUUUAGGGGUUUAUAUCAGAUUUUAAUUAUUCCUAGCAAGUGAUUGUUCCUAUUAUUUAUUUUCUGUGAGGGUGCUUGCUUCCACUGAUUUAUUUGGUUGAGGAACGUUUUGAAUUUAUUGGCUGCGGAGCUUGUCUUACUAUUCACAGACGCCCGAUUGGUGGUUUUGUAUCUUAUUUAUCUUCGGCUAUUUUUUUUGAUAUACAUCACAGGUGUGUUUUUCAUUUAUCUAACAUUGAAUAUAAAUCUGAUGUAUAUUGCAUUGUGCUUUGGAUUUCAGGAGAGCAAGAAGAUUUGGAAAGGAAGCUUAUUCUCUGUAAUAGUUGGAUGGAUUGGUUUUCUUACUGGGAUGUGAAACGUCGACUGUACUUGUAACUUUGCUUUUAGGGGUUCAUGUCAGAUUUUAGUUUCUUUGUUUCGAAAAGAAUUUUUGGUUGCAAUCUGUCUUUUGUCUCUUCUUAUGUUUCCAACUUGACUCUUAUGUUUCCUACUUGAUCAACAAGUGAUUGUUCCUAUAAUUUAUUUGCUGUCAGGAUGCUUGCUUCCUGCUACUAUGAUUUAUAUGGUCGAGGCUCGUUGUGGGAGAAGCUCGAUGGGUGGUUUUGUAUCUUGUUUAUCUUCUUUGGCUAUUUUCUUCGUGUUUUUAAUUUAUUAAAUAUAUGUCUGAUGUAUUACGUUGGCUCUUGUUUAUCUUGUUUACGGAGCUUGUCUUCGUUGUGACAGAAACUCGAUGGGUGGUUUUGUAUCUUGUUUAUGUUGUUCAGAGUCAAGUCUCUUAUUGCAUCAAGGAUCUCCAACAAGUCAUUAACUAUUUCGAUCGUGGGAUGAGCAACAUAAGUUAUCAUCUCCAUCGUAGUAAUAUGACCAAUAUCUUUGCCAAAUCAGCCGCUACAGCUCGGGAUAUUUGGUAGCAACGGAGUCAGGGUGCUUGCUUCCAGCUACUGUGGUUUUAUUGGCUGCAGAGCUUGUCUUAGUUGUGGCCGAAGCUCCAUGGGUGGUUUUGUAUCUUAAUUAUCUUCUUUGGCUAGUUUCUUCGAUAUACAACACAGCUGUGUGUUUUUCAUUUUUCUAAAUUUGAAUAUAUGUCAGAUGUAUUACGUUGUGCUCUGGAUUUCAGGAGACCGGAGGAUCGGAAAUGGAGCUUGUUCUCUUUUUUAGUUGGAUGGAUUGGUUUCCUUGGUGGGAUCUGAAAUGUCAACUGAACUUCUAUAAGUAGCUGUGGAGUUGCUGGGAGUUCCAGAUUCCAUCAUUGGAAACUCAGUGAUGGAAAUCUUCUUGCGUGGCAAUCGUUAUCUUAUAAAUCGGGACUUACAUAGUGGGACAUUGCACACGCCUUUGCAGAAGCACAAUACCCUGUCUAUGAUAUAUACUGGAGUAUAUUUGCACCAGUACAUAUUAAGAGAUCGAUGGAAGCAAAAUACGGUUGGACAGUGUGAGAGCUACACAACGCUCACUCUUCCGGGAUUAUGCAGAGUGGUUCAUGGCAUUGAUGUUUUGACCCCAAGAUUAGUAUUGCUUCACCUGGGGCUGAUAUGUUUCCCAUACUUUGAAAAGGACAAAAGACUUAUCUUUACAUGGUUCAAUUGAGAAGUUGUUAUAUGAUCCAGACCAGAUCGACCAAACACAUAGGUACUUUGAGCGACCGGUCCAAACCAAACCCAUUAAUCUUUUCCAAGGUGAGGCUUGAUCGAGUAAAAAACAUAACAGGACUGGUAGAGUGGCAUGUUAAGAAUACUAGACUCAGAUGCUGUAAACCUUGUUGUGGUUGCUGGUUACAAUGAUGUCAACAAAUCCAACGACGGGGAAGAAAUUGCUGAGAUUGAGAAGAUGCAUGACCUAAUGAAGCAGUACAACUUGAAUGGCCAAUUUAGAUGGAUGUCAGCACAGAUGAACAGCACCGCUACAUUGCUGAUACACGAGGAGCAUUUGUGCAACCUGCUCUCUACGAAGCAUGUGGCCUUACAGUUGUGGAGGCGAUACUUGUGGUCUUCCAACAUAUGCUGCUGGUCCAUAUCACCCUAAUCAGGAUGGUGAACUCAUGGCAGAUUUUUUUGAGGAAGGAACCUAGCCACUGGGAUUAGAUCUCCUCUGCGGGGCUUCAGUGGAUUUUAUUACAGGAAUACUUGGAAGAUCAUAUGUCUCAGAACUUAUAAGGCGUGAGACCCGACGAUACUUAGAGAUGUUUUACAUUCUGAAGUUCUGGGAUCUUUGGUUCCAGAAGCAGUUGGCCAUGGUCACUGAAGUAUAUUUAGAGAUGGUAUUCGUUGUUAUCAAGUAAUGUUGUCCACGAAAUCAAUUUGCCUGAACAGUGUAUAAUAUCAAAUAAGAAUCCAUGAACGUCCAGAUGGAUGUAUAGUAAUUUGUUUGGUAAAAACAAUUGAAUGAUAAGUGAUUGGAAUACAAUUUUGUUUGCAA